This 584-nucleotide ribosomal RNA is filed under the name Symmetrospora coprosmae. RNAcentral describes it as "partial large subunit ribosomal RNA". It matches the Rfam family "Eukaryotic large subunit ribosomal RNA", at positions 53 to 624 of the family's 3401-position model. The record is from RNAcentral. Lineage: Eukaryota; Fungi; Basidiomycota; Cystobasidiomycetes; Symmetrosporaceae.
GAGGAAAAGAAACUAACAAGGAUUCCCCUAGUAACGGCGAGUGAAGUGGGAAAAGCUCAACUUUAAAAUCUGGCAGCUUCGCUGUCCGAGUUGUAGUCUCGAGAAGUGUUUUCCGCGCUGGAUCGUGUAUGAGUCUGUUGGAAUACAGCGUCAUAGAGGGUGAGAACCCCGUUCAUGACACGACUACCAGUGCUUUGUGAUACACUUUCGAUGAGUCGAGUUGUUUGGGAAUGCAGCUCAAAAUGGGUGGUAAAUUCCAUCUAAAGCUAAAUAUUGGCGAGAGACCGAUAGCAAACAAGUACCGUGAGGGAAAGAUGAAAAGCACUUUGGAAAGAGAGUUAACAGUACGUGAAAUUGUCGAAAGGGAAACGCUUGAAGUCAGACGUGCGCGGUGCGAUUCAGCCUUGGUUCGCCAGGGUGUACUUCGUACCAUUGCAGGCCAGCAUCGGUUUUGUGAGCCGGAUAAAGGUUAGAGGAAGGUAGCGGUCCAGGCCGUGUUAUAGCCUCUAACUGAAUACGGAUUGUGAGACCGAGGGACGCAGCGCGCCGCAAGGCAAAGGGUCCGCCCUUUUCGCGCUUAGGAU